Molecule: ribosomal RNA, 253 nt
Filed under: uncultured bacterium
Lineage: Bacteria
Description: partial 16S ribosomal RNA
Rfam family: Bacterial small subunit ribosomal RNA
Source: RNAcentral
UACGUAGGCAGCGAGCGUUGUUCGGAUUUACUGGGCGUAAAGCGUGCGUAGGCGGUGUUCCAAGUCUGUUGUGAAAUCUCCCGGCUUAACUGGGAGGGUGCGGCGGAAACUGGAACGCUGGAGUAUGGGAGAGGUAAGCGGAAUUCCCGGUGUAGUGGUGGAAUGCGUAGAUAUCGGGAGGAACAUCAGUGGCGAAAGCGGCACCCUGGCAUUUGCCUGACGCUCAUGUGCGAAAGCGUGGGGAGCGAACCGG